GAGGGUAUAGCUCAGUGGUAGAGUACAGUGCAGGCUUAGGAUGCACAAGGUCCUGGGUUCAAUCCCCAGUACCUCCA
This 77-nucleotide transfer RNA is filed under the name Camelus bactrianus (Bactrian camel). It matches the Rfam family "tRNA". From Rfam's summary of the family: Transfer RNA (tRNA) molecules are approximately 80 nucleotides in length. Their secondary structure includes four short double-helical elements and three loops (D, anti-codon, and T loops). Further hydrogen bonds mediate the characteristic L-shaped molecular structure. tRNAs have two regions of fundamental functional importance: the anti-codon, which is responsible for specific mRNA codon recognition, and the 3' end, to which the tRNAs corresponding amino acid is attached (by aminoacyl-tRNA synthetases). tRNAs cope with the degeneracy of the genetic code in two manners: having more than one tRNA (with a specific anti-codon) for a particular amino acid; and 'wobble' base-pairing, i.e. permitting non-standard base-pairing at the 3rd anti-codon position. The record is from Rfam by way of RNAcentral. Lineage: Eukaryota; Metazoa; Chordata; Mammalia; Artiodactyla; Camelidae. RNAcentral also lists the same sequence under 2 other names.